AUGAACGCUGGCGGCGUGCCUAACACAUGCAAGUCGAACGGAGAAUUACGCUGAUGAAGCUUCGGCAGAUUCUUGUAAAUUCUUAGUGGCGGACGGGUGAGUAACGCGUGGGCAACCUGCCUCAUACUGGGGGAUAACAGCUGGAAACGACUGUUAAUACCGCAUAAGCGCACGGUAUCGCAUGAUACAGUGUGAAAAACUCCGGUGGUAUGAGAUGGGCCCGCGUCAGAUUAGCCAGUUGGCAGGGUAACGGCCUACCAAAGCGACGAUCUGUAGCCGGCCUGAGAGGGCGGACGGCCACAUUGGGACUGAGACACGGCCCAAACUCCUACGGGAGGCAGCAGUGGGGGAUAUUGCACAAUGGAGGAAACUCUGAUGCAGCGACGCCGCGUGAAGUGAAGAAGUAUUUCGGUAUGUAAAGCUCUAUCAGCAGGGAAGAAAGACUCGUAAGAGAGAUGACGGUACCUGACUAAGAAGCCCCGGCUAACUACGUGCCAGCCGCAGC
Molecule: ribosomal RNA, 505 nt
Filed under: uncultured bacterium
Lineage: Bacteria
Description: bacterial SSU rRNA
Rfam family: Bacterial small subunit ribosomal RNA
Source: RNAcentral